AGAGUUUGAUCCUGGCUCAGGACGAACGCUGGCGGCGCGCCUAACACAUGCAAGUCGAACGGAGAUACCUGUUAGAUCCCUUCGGGGUGACGAUGGACUAUCUUAGUGGCGGACGGGUGAGUAACACGUGAGCAACCUGCCUUACAGAGUGGGAUAACGUUUGGAAACGAACGCUAAUACCGCAUAACAUUAACUUAUCGCAUGGUAAGAUAAUCAAAGAAAUUCGCUGUAAGAUGGGCUCGCGUCUGAUUAGAUAGUUGGUGAGGUAACGGCUCACCAAGUCGACGAUCAGUAGCCGGACUGAGAGGUUGAACGGCCACAUUGGGACUGAGACACGGCCCAGACUCCUACGGGAGGCAGCAGUGGGGAAUAUUGCACAAUGGGGGAAACCCUGAUGCAGCGACGCCGCGUGAGGGAAGAAGGUUUUCGGAUUGUAAACCUCUGUCUUCAGGGACGAUAGUGACGGUACCUGAGGAGGAAGCUCCGGCGAACUACGUGCCAGCAGCCGCGGU
Molecule: ribosomal RNA, 512 nt
Filed under: uncultured Gram-positive bacterium
Lineage: Bacteria
Description: bacterial SSU rRNA
Rfam family: Bacterial small subunit ribosomal RNA
Source: RNAcentral